CCUACGGGAGGCAGCAGCAAGGAAUUUUGGGCAAUGGGCGAAAGCCUGACCCAGCAACGCCGCGUGGGUGAAGAAGGCCUUCGGGUCGUAAAGCCCUUUUCUGUGGGAAGAGAAAGGACGGUACCACAGGAAUAAGCCUCGGCUAACUACGUGCCAGCAGCCGCGGUAAUACGUAGGAGGCGAGCGUUGUCCGGAUUUACUGGGCGUAAAGAGCGCGUAGGCGGUUUGCUAAGUCGAAUGUGAAAUCUCCCGGCUUAACUGGGAGGGUGUGUUCGAUACUGGUGAGCUUGAGGGCAGCAGAGGAAAGUGGAAUUCCCGGUGUAGUGGUGAAAUGCGUAGAUAUCGGGAGGAACACCAGUGGCGAAAGCGGCUUUCGGGGCUGUUCCUGACGCUGAGGCGCGAAAGCGUGGGGAGCAAACAGGAUUAGAUACCCCUGUAGU
This 440-nucleotide ribosomal RNA is filed under the name uncultured Dehalococcoidia bacterium. Its description in RNAcentral is "partial 16S ribosomal RNA". It matches the Rfam family "Bacterial small subunit ribosomal RNA", at positions 338 to 794 of the family's 1533-position model. The record is from RNAcentral. Lineage: Bacteria; Bacillati; Chloroflexota; Dehalococcoidia.